This 861-nucleotide ribosomal RNA is filed under the name uncultured bacterium. RNAcentral's name for it is "bacterial SSU rRNA". It matches the Rfam family "Bacterial small subunit ribosomal RNA", at positions 28 to 898 of the family's 1533-position model. The record is from RNAcentral.
GAUGAACGCUAGCGGCAGGCUUAACACAUGCAAGUCGAGGGGUAGUCUAGCAAUAGAUGAGACCGGCGCACGGGUGCGUAACGCGUAUGCAAUCUACCUUUUACAGAGGGAUAGCCCAGAGAAAUUUGGAUUAAUACCUCAUAGUAUAACGACUCGGCAUCGAGAUGUUAUUAAAGUUCCAACGGUAAAAGAUGAGCAUGCGUCCCAUUAGCUAGUUGGUGUGGUAACGGCACACCAAGGCAACGAUGGGUAGGGGUCCUGAGAGGGAGAUCCCCCACACUGGUACUGAGACACGGACCAGACUCCUACGGGAGGCAGCAGUGAGGAAUAUUGGUCAAUGGGCGCAAGCCUGAACCAGCCAUGCCGCGUGCAGGAUGACGGUCCUAUGGAUUGUAAACUGCUUUUGUACAGGAAGAAACACUCCCUCGUGAGGGAGCUUGACGGUACUGUAAGAAUAAGGAUCGGCUAACUCCGUGCCAGCAGCCGCGGUAAUACGGAGGAUCCAAGCGUUAUCCGGAAUCAUUGGGUUUAAAGGGUCCGUAGGCGGGUUUAUAAGUCAGUGGUGAAAGCCCAUCGCUCAACGAUGGAACGGCCAUUGAUACUGUAGAUCUUGAAUUAUUAGGAAGUAACUAGAAUAUGUAGUGUAGCGGUGAAAUGCUUAGAGAUUACAUGGAAUACCAAUUGCGAAGGCAGGUUACUACUAAUGGAUUGACGCUGAUGGACGAAAGCGUGGGUAGCGAACAGGAUUAGAUACCCUGGUAGUCCACGCCGUAAACGAUGGAUACUAGCUGUUCGGAGCAAUCUGAGUGGCUAAGCGAAAGUGAUAAGUAUCCCACCUGGGGAGUACGUUCGCAGAAUGAA